RNAcentral lists this long non-coding RNA (2371 nucleotides) under Sorghum bicolor (sorghum). RNAcentral describes it as "long non-coding RNA (SBIC_LNC015926)". Lineage: Eukaryota; Viridiplantae; Streptophyta; Magnoliopsida; Poales; Poaceae. The record is from RNAcentral.
GGGACUUGUAACCGUCACUUCUGUCUUGAGUAGUUAAAAGAUAGAACAGUCUAGCCAAGUGCCAUGUCUCUUAUUUUUGAUCAGCUAUAGCUCUGGAGUUUUUGCAGAUUUUCAAAUAAAACUCAGAGAUUCCUUGUAUGAUUCUCUCAGAUCUCUCUUUUGUGGUAUUUCUGGAUCCUUACCAAGGCAGUGAUGGUAUAUGCCUUCUCUCAAUAUAUAUAGUAUUUGUGGUAUAAAGCAUAGUGACAUUGCUUUCUCUCUCACCCUACUCUAAUAAGGCUUUAAUAUCUGGAGCUCAUAGGUGGAAGAUAAAAUAUACAUACUUACAAGACAUUUAUUGCAUAGUCAAACCAUGGAUUCAAAGAAACAAAUCAUAAGUCAAAUCAAGAUGUGCAUGUGUGGCGAAUGAAUAGUGUAUGGUGAUGAUGGUGAUAACAAUGGUGGAAGUCUAAUUCUACUUUGCUCUUUUGAGGGGAUACAUACCUUCCUUGCUUUUUGAAACUUUGUGAGGAGAAUGAGAUGCUCUUCUUUUUCUUUCCUCUCAGGUGGGUAUCUUGUACCCCUAAUUCUACUGUCGGACACUUGUCCAUUUUUACCUCUCGUCUCACUUUUUCUUUCCUUUCGAGGUUCCGAGCACUUGCUCCUUUUUAUUUCCUCGUAUCUUUUUUCUUUUUUUAGAGCACUCAUCUCUUGAGAUAAUAUAGCAAGUGGUAGUAACAAGAUAACUUAAGCAUUUAUUUCACAAGGAAAAACAGAAAUAUUUUUGUUAUUCUCUCCCGGAUUAGGAGUAGAAUAUUUUUAGGUGGUUCUGGAGAUGGAAAUGGGUGAAUAUAUAUGGAUGGUACUUCCAGAAUAGAAGUAGCAUAUAUAAGUGAACGUGCAAGUGAAAUCUUGAUUUAACCACAUGACAAGCUCCUAAGGGUCUACACAGCUUGACCACACUCAAUGCUCAUAAGUAGUAAAAAGUAAAUGUGUGGCUCAAAGUCUAGCAAGCAUGUAUAUAUGGCUGUGGGAGGAAUUUAAACUCUCAUCAUACAGGAACUCAUCAUAUAAUAUUUUAAAGAUUUUCAAAGAUAAAAUUCUCCAGAAUUCUAGCAUCUCUAGGAACAGAUAAACAGCAGCUCAACCUUCCCAUAUCGUAUCCGUUAACAACUUAGACUUCAGAUCAAGUUUUCAUCCCACAAGUUUAGGUCUAGAGCAAGUUUUAAAUUAUAACAGUUAUAUCUAAACUUGAGAGAGAACUUAAAAUUUGCAAAUUAGGAAGAGCAAAUAUCCAUGCUAGAGUUUUAUUUAGAUACAGAUUAGCAUAGCCACUUUAUUUAUUUAUUAAACACGCUAAGCAAAAGACAUAUAUAUAAGCAUAAAAUCUUUAUUUGGUUUUUUAUAGUUGUGUAUAUCUAUAGUAUAAGUAUAAAGAUAGAUAUAUAGAAAUACUUAUCGGGAUAAAUGGAGGUGCUCUCCCCCAAGCUGAAUUUUGACGUAAUUUCUCUUGAUGUAGCUAGCAGGUGGCAGAGGUGUAUUUGAAACUCAGCAGCAUUCUGACAGCGAUUAGAAAUGUCCUCCGUCUGCUAGUCUUCUUGAUUCUUAAAUUCUGUGGAGCUCAAAUAGACAACAAAGCUUGUGGAACUGAUUAAGUGUUAGCAUAAAUAUCUAGCCUUUAUCAUGUUGAGACUCCUUAAUAAUUAUUGCUCCCAAUUUUUAUAUUUUCAUUUUAUAAAGUAGAAAAAAUAUUUAUUUUAUUUUUAUACCACCACAGUGAAUGUACUUAUGGGUUUUAUGCCACUCGUAUACUCACAUGGGGCUUACUGUUUUUUAACAUUUUUAUUUUCUCUUUAGGAUAGUGUGAACAUGAUUAACUAAGCAAACUAGUUAAAAUAAUCGAAAGGGAAAGGAUAACUACCAAGUUUACCUCUUGGCAAGGCGUUCGGUGUUUCUAAGUCCUCCGAACGGGACUCUCCGUUUUCUCAAUUGUCCUGGGAUUCAUUAGGUGGCAUAGUCGGUACUUCCGGCGGCGCCUCCUCUUCAUGUAUAGUUAUCUUCUCUUUCCAUACCUGACUCGGUGCUACGGUCUCCUCUGGAUAAUUCUGUUUAAACUCUACGUCUUCUGACCUUACAACUUCUCCUUCAUAGUCUGCCCAUCCGUCCUUGAUGAUUUGCCUCCUCUGGUUGCGGUUGCGUCGUUUUCUUACCUGCUUAGAUUCUUCAAAGAUGUAGUUAGGGUCAGUAAAAUAACGGCGUACCUUCUCUAAGGCGAAGUGCAUAUGGACUUCUCCGGUUCCAAUGUAGAUAAUUGCUUUAACGGUGCUGAGGAACGGUCUUCCAAGGAUGAUGGGUGGAUCGUACUCAUCUUCUCCGAUGUCAAUAACCUGAA